RNAcentral lists this unclassified non-coding RNA (419 nucleotides) under Bombus terrestris (buff-tailed bumblebee). Its description in RNAcentral is "misc RNA ENSBTSG00005026243.1". Lineage: Eukaryota; Metazoa; Arthropoda; Insecta; Hymenoptera; Apidae. The record is from RNAcentral.
CCUAAAUAAUGCAUUAACAAAGAGGCCGAAGAAAAGAUGGAGCAACAAUCAAUUUUCAAUGAAAAUCACACCGCUCCUUAUCCGUCUGAAACAAGUGUAAGCCCUGUCCUGGCGACAGGUCGCUUUGUUUAUCGCAAGAGCCGACGCACCAGACCAUUUCAGCUUAUCCACCCCCUCGUUGUCCCAACCCCCCGACCGUUCCGGACGCAGCGUUCGCGAACAAACGAUACUCUUUCUGCCUGGCGGGACACGGCACAUUCCUUUUCUCCCUUUCCGAAAGCUACGAUGGAGACUCGGCGUUUGUACGCGCACACUGUAGCGGACGAUUCACGCAACCGACGUCGGAUUAUACCCCUUUUUCAGUCGAAGAUAGGGAGGAGGCAGGAAGGGGCAGGAGGAAACGGGAACAGAGAGCGGGC